CAAGCGAACAAGUGCAUGUGGUGGAUGCCUUGGCGAUCACAGGCGGAUGAAGGACGCGGUAGCCUGCGAAAAGCCCCGGGGAGCUGGCAAACAAGCUUUGAUCCGGGGAUGUCCGAAUGGGGAAACCCACUCCGUAUGGAGUAUCCAUGACUGAAUACAUAGGUCAUGUGAAGCGAACGCGGUGAACUGAAACAUCUAAGUAACCGCAGGAAAAGAAAUCAACCGAGAUUCCCAAAGUAGUGGCGAGCGAAAUGGGAUGAGCCUUGUACUCUUUAUUUGUAUUGUUAGCCGAACGCUCUGGAAAGUGCGGCCAUAGCAGGGUGAUAGCCCUGUAGGCGAAAACAGUAUGAAAGAACUAGGUGUACGACAAGUAGGGCGGGACACGUGAAAUCCUGUCUGAAGAUGGGGGACCAUCCUCCAAGGCUAAAUACUCGUGAUCGACCGAUAGUGAACCAGUACCGUGAGGGAAAGGCGAAAAGAACCCCGGGAGGGGAGUGAAAUAGAUCCUGAAACCGCAUGCAUACAAACAGUCGGAGCCUCUUUAUGGGGUGACGGCGUACCUUUUGUAUAAUGGGUCAGCGACUUACGUUCAGUAGCAAGCUUAACCGUAUAGGGCAGGCGUAGCGAAAGCGAGUCCGAAUAGGGCGUUCAGUUGCUGGGCGUAGACCCGAAACCAGGUGAUCUAUCCAUGGCCAGGAUGAAGGUGCGGUAACACGUACUGGAGGUCCGAACCCACUAACGUUGAAAAGUUAGGGGAUGAGCUUGUGGAUAGGGGUGAAAGGCUAAACAAACCUGGAAAUAGCUGGUUCUCUCCGAAAACUAUUUUAGGUAGUGCCUCGUGUCUCACCUUCGGGGGUAGAGCACUGUCAUGGUUGGGGGGUCUAUUGCAGAUUACCCCGCCAUAGCAAACUCCGAAUACCGAAGAGUGCAAUCACGGGAGACAGACAUCGGGUGCUAACGUCCGUGUGUCAAGAGGGAAACAACCCAGACCGCCAGCUAAGGUCCCCAAAAUAUGGCUAAGUGGGAAACGAAGUGGGAAGGCUAAAACAGUCAGGAGGUUGGCUUAGAAGCAGCCACCCUUUAAAGAAAGCGUAAUAGCUCACUGAUCGAGUCGUCCUGCGCGGAAGAUGUAACGGGGCUAAGCCAUAUACCGAAGCUGCGGAUGCGAGCUUGCUCGCAUGGUAGGAGAGCGUUCCGUAAGCCUGCGAAGGUGUCUUGUAAAGGAUGCUGGAGGUAUCGGAAGUGCGAAUGCUGACAUGAGUAGCGAUAAAGGGGGUGAAAGGCCCCCUCGCCGUAAGCCCAAGGUUUCCUACGCAACGUUCAUCGGCGUAGGGUGAGUCGGCCCCUAAGGCGAGGCAGAAAUGCGUAGCUGAUGGGAAGCAGGUCAAUAUUCCUGCACCCUGGUUAGAUGCGAUGGGGGGACGGAUCGCGGAAGGUUGUCCGGGUGUUGGACGUCCCGGUCGCUGCAUUGGAGAAGGCGCUUAGGCAAAUCCGGGCGCAGGAUUCAAGGGUGUGGCGCGAGCGACUUCGGUCGCGAAGCAAUUGGAAGUGGUUCCAAGAAAAGCCUCUAAGCUUCAGUCUAACGAUGACCGUACCGCAAACCGACACAGGUGGGCGAGAUGAGUAUUCUAAGGCGCUUGAGAGAACUCGGGAGAAGGAACUCGGCAAAUUGGUACCGUAACUUCGGGAUAAGGUACGCCCUUGUAGCUUGACUGGCCUGCGCCAGGAGGGUGAAGGGGUUGCAAUAAACUGGUGGCUGCGACUGUUUAAUAAAAACACAGCACUCUGCAAACACGAAAGUGGACGUAUAGGGUGUGACGCCUGCCCGGUGCCGGAAGAUUAAAUGAUGGGGUGCAAGCUCUUGAUUGAAGUCCCGGUAAACGGCGGCCGUAACUAUAACGGUCCUAAGGUAGCGAAAUUCCUUGUCGGGUAAGUUCCGACCUGCACGAAUGGCGUAACGAUGGCCACACUGUCUCCUCCCGAGACUCAGCGAAGUUGAAGUGUUUGUGAUGAUGCAAUCUACCCGCGGCUAGACGGAAAGACCCCAUGAACCUUUACUGUAGCUUUGCAUUGGACUUUGAACCGAUCUGUGUAGGAUAGGUGGGAGGCUAUGAAACCGGAACGCUAGUUUCGGUGGAGCCGUCCUUGAAAUACCACCCUGGUUUGUUUGAGGUUCUAACCUUGGUCCGUGAUCCGGAUCGGGGACAGUGCAUGGUAGGCAGUUUGACUGGGGCGGUCUCCUCCCAAAGGGUAACGGAGGAGUACGAAGGUACGCUAGGUACGGUCGGAAAUCGUGCUGAUAGUGCAAUGGCAUAAGCGUGCUUAACUGCGAGACCGACAAGUCGAGCAGGUGCGAAAGCAGGUCAUAGUGAUCCGGUGGUUCUGUAUGGAAGGGCCAUCGCUCAACGGAUAAAAGGUACUCUGGGGAUAACAGGCUGAUACCGCCCAAGAGUUCAUAUCGACGGCGGUGUUUGGCACCUCGAUGUCGGCUCAUCUCAUCCUGGGGCUGUAGCCGGUCCCAAGGGUAUGGCUGUUCGCCAUUUAAAGAGGUACGUGAGCUGGGUUUAAAACGUCGUGAGACAGUUUGGUCCCUAUCUGCCGUGGGCGUUGGAUAUUUGAAGGGGGCUGCUCCUAGUACGAGAGGACCGGAGUGGACGAACCUCUGGUGUACCGGUUGUGACGCCAGUCGCAUCGCCGGGUAGCUAUGUUCGGAAGAGAUAACCGCUGAAAGCAUCUAAGCGGGAAACUCGCCUUAAGAUGAGAUAUCCCUGGAGGCUUGACCUCCUUGAAGGGUCGUUCGAGACCAGGACGUUGAUAGGUCGGGUGUGUAAGCGCAGUAAUGCGUUCAGCUAACCGAUACUAAUUGCCCGUAAGGCUUGAUCC
This 2883-nucleotide ribosomal RNA is filed under the name Burkholderia multivorans. Its description in RNAcentral is "bacterial LSU rRNA". It matches the Rfam family "Bacterial large subunit ribosomal RNA". Lineage: Bacteria; Pseudomonadati; Pseudomonadota; Betaproteobacteria; Burkholderiales; Burkholderiaceae. The record is from RNAcentral.